RNAcentral lists this long non-coding RNA (1288 nucleotides) under Equus asinus (donkey). Its description in RNAcentral is "lncRNA (ENSEASG00005027407.1)". The record is from RNAcentral. Lineage: Eukaryota; Metazoa; Chordata; Mammalia; Perissodactyla; Equidae.
AGAAAAAAGAAAAUUGUAGCUCCACGAAAUUAGCUUCUGUCUAGUGAGAUAAUGUUAAAAAUGGUUUCUGCAUCAGCAGUUCCUUUCAAAAUGAAAAAUUGACUUAGCACAUGGCCUAGCAAUUGCACUUUUGGGCAUUUAUCCCAGGGAAAUGAAGACUCAUUUUCAUGCAGGAAACUAUACACAAAUAUUCAUAUCAGCUUUAUUCAUAAGGGCCAAAAACUGGAAACUACCCAAAUGCCCUUCAGUGGAUAAAUGAUUAAACAAACUGUGGCACACCCAUACCAUGGAGUACUACUCAGUAAUAAAAAGGAGUUAACUAUUGACUCUGCUUGCAUGGAAUGUUAGAAAAUUAUGCUGAGUGGAAAAAGUCAAUCUCAAAAGGAUACAUACUGCAUGAUUUCAUUGAUGUAACUUUCAUGAAGUAAAAUAAUUUUGGAGAUAAGCCGUAGGCCAAAUUAACUCCACAUGCUUGGGACCACUGCAUAUUUUGCCUCCUACAGAAACAAAAGAAUGGUAUUUUUAGAUUCUGAACAAUUUUGCCAUCUAAACUGCGUCUGCUUUCAUGUCACUGCUUCAGAGAAUAGUGAUAUCUCUACUUUUAUCCUAAACUAAUUUGCCCACUUUGUCAUCACCCAUAAUCUCUGGAGUGGAUUGGCCAUUAUGUGAAGAGUGACAGAAGAAUGUGAAAGGAGACUCGAAAGGCAAUGGAAAGUAUUGGAUCUUUGCACUGCUCUUUAUUCUAACACCCGAAUAGAAAAGAUGGAAGAAAUCAAAGGACUGCAUUUAUCCUGGGAAAAAGUUGGAAGAGCAAUUGUCCUUUACAUGAAAGCUUUUGUUACUUUUAUGCUUCUCUUAUUACUAGAAGGUAUUUUUAUGUGUGAUCAUCAAAAGUGGUAAAGUAUAGGACAAUGGCAGAAAAUUCAUUUUAUAAUUAUCCUUUGGUAAAAUAGCUUUUUUGCUCACUUGAAUUGGAAGAAUGAGCAGACAUCAUAAAGACUGUGAACUGUUUGAUGCCAUAAAAUUUCUCUUCUUUUAUAAUUUCCUUUUACAAUUUCUUGAUAAUGUCUAGUAGAAAUUUUAAUGCUGUAUUUAUAACUAUCUAAACAUGGAAUUGAAACAAAAUAAGGAAUCCCAGAAUGUGCUUAUUAAUAUACAUAGAAAACUUUAAUUCCAAUUAAAAAUACUACUUCCUAACCACAGUGAAGUAUCACCUGACACCUGUGAGAAUGGCCAUUAUCAAAAAGGCAAGAGAUAACAAGUAUUCUUGAGGAUGUGGCGGAAAGGG